UACGAAGGGGGCUAGCGUUGCUCGGAAUCACUGGGCGUAAAGGGUGCGUAGGCGGGUCUUUAAGUCAGGGGUGAAAUCCUGGAGCUCAACUCCAGAACUGCCUUUGAUACUGAAGAUCUUGAGUUCGGGAGAGGUGAGUGGAACUGCGAGUGUAGAGGUGAAAUUCGUAGAUAUUCGCAAGAACACCAGUGGCGAAGGCGGCUUACUGGUCCGGUUCUGACGCUGAGGCGCGAAAGCCAGGGGAGCAAACGGG
RNAcentral lists this ribosomal RNA (253 nucleotides) under uncultured bacterium. RNAcentral's name for it is "partial 16S ribosomal RNA". It matches the Rfam family "Bacterial small subunit ribosomal RNA", at positions 524 to 776 of the family's 1533-position model. The record is from RNAcentral.